This is a non-coding RNA of Melanopsichium pennsylvanicum, 90 nucleotides long. NCBI's taxonomy places the organism in Eukaryota, Fungi, Basidiomycota, Ustilaginomycetes, Ustilaginales. The record is from the annotation of a GenBank genome assembly.
GCCCCAAUAGAUUAACGGUCAAAUCGUACCCUUCACACAUGGAGGUCCCUACAAUCGGGUAAGCUCUCGGUUCGAUUCCGAGUUGAGGCA